CAUGAGUGGCGGACGGGUGAGUAACGCGUGGGCAACCUGGCCUGUACAGGGGGAUAACACUUAGAAAUAGGUGCUAAUACCGCGUAACGGGAGAAGCCGCAUGGCUUUUUCCUGAAAACUCCGGUGGUACAGGAUGGGCCCGCGUCUGAUUAGCCAGUUGGCAGGGUAACGGCCUACCAAAGCGACGAUCAGUAGCCGGCCUGAGAGGGUGGACGGCCACAUUGGGACUGAGACACGGCCCAAACUCCUACGGAAGGCAGCAG
Molecule: ribosomal RNA, 263 nt
Filed under: uncultured bacterium
Lineage: Bacteria
Description: partial 16S ribosomal RNA
Rfam family: Bacterial small subunit ribosomal RNA
Source: RNAcentral